CCUACGGGAGACAGCAGUGGGGAAUAUUGGACAAUGGGCGCAAGCCUGACCCAGCAACGCCGCGUGAGGGAAGAAGGCCCUCGGGUUGUAAACUUCUUUUGUCAGGGACGAAGCAAGUGACGGUACCUGACGAAUAAGCCACGGCUAACUACGUGCCAGCAGCCGCGGUAAUACGUAGGUGGCAAGCGUUAUCCGGAUUUACUGGGUGUAAAGGGGGUGUAGGCGGGGAUGCAAGUCAGAGGUGAAAUUCCGGGGCUCAACCCCGGAACUGCAUUGGAAACUGUAUGUCUUGAGUGAUGGAGAGGCAGGCGGAAUUCCGGGUGUAGCGGUGAAAUGCGUAGAUAUACGGAGGAACACCAGUGGCGAAGGCGGCUUGCUGGACAGUAACUGACGCUGAGGCGCGAAAGCGUGGGGAGCAAACAGGAUUAGAUACCCGUGUAGUC
RNAcentral lists this ribosomal RNA (443 nucleotides) under uncultured bacterium. RNAcentral describes it as "partial 16S ribosomal RNA". It matches the Rfam family "Bacterial small subunit ribosomal RNA", at positions 338 to 795 of the family's 1533-position model. The record is from RNAcentral.